Molecule: ribosomal RNA, 500 nt
Filed under: uncultured bacterium
Lineage: Bacteria
Description: partial 16S ribosomal RNA
Rfam family: Bacterial small subunit ribosomal RNA
Source: RNAcentral
AUUGAACGCUGGCGGCAUGCCUUACACAUGCAAGUCGAACGGCAGCACGGGAGCAAUCCUGGUGGCGAGUGGCGAACGGGUGAGUAAUAUAUCGGAACGUGCCCAGUCGUGGGGGAUAACGUAGCGAAAGCUACGCUAAUACCGCAUACGACCUAUGGAUGAAAGCGGGGGAUCGCAAGACCUCGCGCGAUUGGAGCGGCCGAUAUCAGAUUAGGUAGUUGGUGAGGUAAAGGCUCACCAAGCCGACGAUCUGUAGCUGGUCUGAGAGGACGGCCAGCCACGCUGGGACUGAGACACGGCCCAGACUCCUACGGGAGGAAGCAGUGGGGAAUUUUGGACAAUGGGCGCAAGCCUGAUCCAGCAAUGCCGCGUGCAGGAUGAAGGCCUUCGGGUUGUAAACUGCUUUUGUACGGAACGAAACGGCGAGCUCUAAUACAGUUUGCUAAUGACGGUACCGUAAGAAUAAGCACCGGCUAACUACGUGCCAGCAGCCGCCGUAA